Molecule: ribosomal RNA, 588 nt
Filed under: Salmonella enterica subsp. enterica serovar Infantis
Lineage: Bacteria; Pseudomonadati; Pseudomonadota; Gammaproteobacteria; Enterobacterales; Enterobacteriaceae
Also listed under: 2 other names
Description: partial 23S ribosomal RNA
Rfam family: Bacterial large subunit ribosomal RNA
Source: RNAcentral
AAUCCAUAGGUUAAUGAGGCGAACCGGGGGAACUGAAACAUCUAAGUACCCCGAGGAAAAGAAAUCAACCGAGAUUCCCCCAGUAGCGGCGAGCGAACGGGGAGGAGCCCAGAGCCUGAAUCAGCAUGUGUGUUAGUGGAAGCGUCUGGAAAGGCGCGCGAUACAGGGUGACAGCCCCGUACACAAAAGCGCAUGUGCUGUGAGCUCGAUGAGUAGGGCGGGACACGUGGUAUCCUGUCUGAAUAUGGGGGGACCAUCCUCCAAGGCUAAAUACUCCUGACUGACCGAUAGUGAACCAGUACCGUGAGGGAAAGGCGAAAAGAACCCCGGCGAGGGGAGUGAAAAAGAACCUGAAACCGUGUACGUACAAGCAGUGGGAGCCCCACCACCAAAGCAUUCUCUGGUGUUGAAGGCCCUGCAAAGCAGCAUCGCGGUGGCGGAGCGUCGUUUGCGACGCCCAACACACAAAACAAGCGGUGAGUGCUUUGGGGUGGGGUGACUGCGUACCUUUUGUAUAAUGGGUCAGCGACUUAUAUUCUGUAGCAAGGUUAACCGAAUAGGGGAGCCGGAGGGAAACCGAGUCUUAAU